Long non-coding RNA from Zingiber officinale, 801 nucleotides. RefSeq lists it as uncharacterized. The transcript has 4 exons. The record is from RefSeq and is a predicted model, not a curated record. Lineage: Eukaryota; Viridiplantae; Streptophyta; Magnoliopsida; Zingiberales; Zingiberaceae.
UGAUUGCUUCCUUUUGUCUAUUAGCAUUAGCUUUUUCAUUAGACUUCUACGGCAUGCAUAUGAACAAGGCUUUAUACACACCAAGUUAUACCUGCAUCACUGCUGGGACUGCUGGGGUCAUGUUCACUGGGGUUUAUGUGCUGGUUGACAUCUAUGGCUACAGGAAGCCAACCUUGGUCAUGGAAUGGCUAGGGAUGCAUGCAUUGAUGGUCUACAUUCUAUUAGGUUGCAACAUCUUCCCUUUAUUUGCCCAAGGAUUCUACUUGAGGGAGCCUGAGAACAAUAUAUUGAAGGUCAUUGGCAUUUCCUAAACAUCAUUUAUCUCGUUCACCGCAUCAUCCUUACCUGGAAAGAAUUUCAAUCAAUGGUAAGAGAUGUCAAAGGAUCUAAUGAAUGAGGAAAAGGAGAAUGCUUGAAAUUAUAUCAGUAUACUUUAUCUAAGUGAUUGUUUGAACAGUUUUAUAGCAUGCAUCUUGACAAUUAAUAUAAUUUUGAAGAUCACUAUCAAGGAAGAAUGUUCAAAGGAAAGUAAAGGCUAAGGAGAAGAAACCAUAUACUCCUUUCCCUCCUCAGCUACCAAGCAAGGUAAUUACUGUAGCCAUUCCUACUAUUGUUUCAAGAGGUUACCAUUUAUGUUACAUAGAUAACGCUUUUUUCACUUCUGUUAGAUGAUUAUAUCAAAUGGUUUUUAUGGUUAUGUAACAUUUAUGUAGUGCAAUUAGAAUCACGCAUACUGUUUAGUUUCUAAUUUGUAAUAUAUAUCUUUAUUCGAAUAGGUGUCCUCAAGAGUAUUGGGAAGAA